ACCCGCGUUGAAGGGACGAUACCCCCACCCCUCCAAAGGCAUCUCACCAACGUCGUAAACGUGAGUAGCGAUCGAAAAGACUACAAACGCACAGAAAUAUAUAUAUAUAUAUGUUGUCGAACUCUUUCACAGUCAAUUUUUUUUUUUGCGUUUCCUCCUCCUCACACAUCUUUGAUGUGUGCUUGUAUUUGUGUGUGUGUGAGCAUGGGUGUGAGCGCAGCUCGUUUUCGCUAUCCUUUUACGAACUUCUAUCGGUAGCCAUUUUGCUGUUCACUCUUUUUCCCGAUACUCUCAUUGAGCUCCUCUCUGCUCCUUUCUCUUCCGUGGCUUGCUGUUCUUUCACGAUGCUAACUGCUGCCUUAUCUGAAAGUUUGUCUCUCCGCGCCUCCUGAUGCCGGCCACCUCAGCUUUCGAUCAGGAUGCAGCACCUACUCUGUGUGGGGAAAGCCCAGAGCGUGCCCUCGUGUACGGCUGCGGACUGUGCGUGCCGACGGAAAGGGCUGGGCUGGCGCUGUGGCGAAGUGGCUCGCGGUCAUGAUGAUCAGGUUUGCACCGGCUGACUACGAGUCGUGUCAAGGAUUCGAAACGUACACGCCUCCCCCUCUUGUGUUCUGUGCUUUUGCUCCGACGCGGCGACGUCGAGUGUAG
Molecule: unclassified non-coding RNA, 648 nt
Filed under: Leishmania donovani
Lineage: Eukaryota; Euglenozoa; Kinetoplastea; Trypanosomatida; Trypanosomatidae
Description: gene:unknown
Source: RNAcentral